GGGGGGGUUUUCGAGAUAGAUUUUGAACCUGGCUUGGCUUGGCAGACUCAGCCCCAGACUUCGCGCGGUAAGGGGGGAUUCUUGGGGCCUUUCCAAGUUAUGGCUGUUGUCUGCAGGCUCUCGGGUCGGAUAGAAGAAUAGAGGAUGGAAUGGUGGAGAAAGGUCCCAAAUCCUCCCAUAUGCCCGUCGCUCACGAGUUAAGAGGAGUGGUGGUGGUUGAGGGGGAGGAGGAGAAACAUGAGGGGCGAAGGAAGGGAUUUCCAGCCCUAGCGUCCUAUGCCUCGGCAUUAUAUUGCUGGGUGUAGAGAACGCAGAGAACGGUUCGCUGCGUCUUCUUUUUUUUGCAUCUUGUUCCUGCGAUUGUUUUUGCGGAAAAAUUCGACGAUGGAGG
This 391-nucleotide small RNA is filed under the name Histoplasma ohiense. Its description in RNAcentral is "hypothetical lncRNA". Lineage: Eukaryota; Fungi; Ascomycota; Eurotiomycetes; Onygenales; Ajellomycetaceae. The record is from RNAcentral.